AAGUGUUAUAGCUCUUUUAGAAUUUGUCUAGGAGGUUUUCUGGUCCUUACUGGAAACCUCCC
Molecule: small nuclear RNA, 62 nt
Filed under: Prolemur simus (greater bamboo lemur)
Lineage: Eukaryota; Metazoa; Chordata; Mammalia; Primates; Lemuridae
Description: U7 small nuclear RNA (ENSPSMG00000022852.1)
Rfam family: U7 small nuclear RNA
About the family: Animal histone pre-mRNAs are spliced by a different mechanism than nuclear pre-mRNAs and self-splicing introns. This processing involves the U7 snRNP, which contains only one RNA species: U7.
Source: RNAcentral